Non-coding RNA from Vicugna pacos (alpaca), 2846 nucleotides. NCBI's taxonomy places the organism in Eukaryota, Metazoa, Chordata, Mammalia, Artiodactyla, Camelidae. The record is from RefSeq and is a predicted model, not a curated record.
AAGAUCUAUUUUCUCCAUCUUUUUUCUUCCUCAGAAAUAGUCAUUAGUAGGAAUUCCUACCUUUAAAAAAAAACCUAUAAGAAUAUUCAACCAACCAGGCAAUAUUGAUUGAUUGAGUCUUACACUAUCUAUGCCAGGCACUGGGGGAGAUAUUUAAAAAGUUAAAAACUAAUAGUGGCCUUUUAUUCAUUCAUCCAAGUAAUGCUUAAUUAAAUAUUUAUCACAUAUCAGGCACCUGCUAGGUACUAGGGAUUUUAAAAAACACACAAAAAAACUAAGAUAGGUCUCCUUGCUAAAGUAGCCCAUAGUCCAAAACCUGUCUGGAUCAGUGGUUCCCAACCAGGGGUGAUUUUGCCCCCAGCGGGUAUCUGACAGCAUCUGCAGAAAUCCUUGGUUGGCACCACUGGGAGGGUUCAGGGGAUGCUCAUGGCAGCCAGUGGGCAGAGAUCAGGGAUGCUGCUCAGCCUCUCCCAAUGCACAGGAUAGUCCCCACAGCACAGAAUUAGAAACCCUAACAUAUCAAUAUGCUGAGGUUGAGAAACCCUGCAAGCCCACUGGCCCCUUCACUGGAAGGAGUACACACUCUCCGGGUGUGAAUUAACAGAGCCUUAGAGCCACCUCCUGCCCUCCCUUCACCAGGUGAGGCUGGAACAGGGCAAGGUCCCUAACUGAAGAGAAGGUAACCGGCACCACCAUCAUUCAGAUGCAUUACAGUGGCUCCGCUAGGAGGAGGCUCAGGGCUUCCGCCAUCAGAUCCCAGCAGUUCCCCCCCGUAACAGCCCAGCCAGAAGGCACGUCCAGAGUGAUGGCCUGAGCUAGCUUUUUGCUGAGAGCAGCCAAGUUUCUACUGUCAACCCUGGAAAGGCAUAAGUCCUUUUGAGUAAUAUUACUAAAAGCCAGUGACAAUCUUACAAUUCAGACAUAGCAUUUGCACCUAAGUUGAAACUACUAUAAAAUUUUUGUAGCAUCUUCCUUAUGCUUAUGUAUUAACUCUGUGUUUACAUGUAAAAAGUGGCCUUACAACCAUGAAGUUUAGUGUAGCCACUAGCUGCUCAUGGCUAUUCAAAUUUACAUUAGUUGAAAUUAAAUAGUAUUUAAAAUUUACUCCUCAGUCACACUAGUCACAUUUAAAGUGCUCACCACAUAUGCCUACUGGCUACUGAAUUGGACAGUUUAUAGAACAUUUCUAUUAUUACAGAAAAUUCUAUCAGAGAGUACUGUCUUACAAGCCAUUUCUAAGGCUCUUCGCCAGUAUGUACAGUUACUGCUUUAAAAAAAAAAAAAAGGCUUGUUUUCUAGCAGUCGAGGCAUCAGGGUACAUGCUUUACCUUAUCUCAUUAUCAGUAUCUGUUAGAAAGACACAGACAUGUUCUGCUGGGAGGAUCAUCUCGUGUCUGACAAAAUUUUGUGAAAGUUUAUGUAAUGAAUGUUGGAUAACAUAUCAGAUGAUUGAAACUGAUUUUCCAGAAGGUAGGACAAUGUAAAACUCAAGUAGAUAACCCCUAUCAGGCAUUUCUGAUCUAAGUCAAGUGUGUAUUGUUAAAUAUUAAUUCCAUUAAGUUAUAUCAGCAGAGAAUUAAGAUAUGUGACCCAAAUAUAUAUCUUUCUAGUAAUUGAGUAUAAUAGAGAACUGCUGUUUAGUGGAUCUCAGCUGGGGAUGGAGAGGGAUGAAGGGAGGAGGGGAGGAUCAGAAUGACCUAAGCAUUCUUGCAAAGUGCACAGAGUGUCACCACGUAAGGUUCGUCAGAGUGGUGGGCUGGGCAGGUGGAUGGGUAGGGAAGGUCUCGCACGUGUAGAUGCUGACAAAGCUCUCCACGUAAUUCCAAAGUCCCCAGUCCCAGUGAAGACUGUUUAGAGAAAUGAAAAGGAAAAUUAGUGUGUCUCUUCCAUGGUAUGAUGGGUGGGCUGUGGAGGGGGCAAGUGCAGCUUAAAAAAGACACUUGGUCCCCACCUCUAGACAGGAUUCCAUCCACCCUGUGUGGGUCCAGCUGUCUGCUCGGUUCUCUCUCACUGCCAUUCUUUCAAAUGACCUCUGGCUGUUCCCGUCUUCCCUUCCCCACAAGCCAUUCAGAGUGAUCGACUGGGUUUAGAACAGCUGCCUUAGGCAUCUCUUGCCAAUAUCAGGUGUCUCUAGCAAGCUUUUAUAAGUGAUCACUAUCUGUUCUUGGAUGCACUUUCUGAUCAGUGCCUGAAAUGAUGAUACUGUGUGCUUCUGAUCAAAGGAGCUGUCACAUGUGCCACUGGUGCACUGACCUGAGAGGACACUCAGCUGAGGAAGUUCAGGAGCCCCCUUUUGUAUUUUUCACUCAGGUUGAAGGAUAUCUAUCGCCCUUCCACAGAAAGCAGAAAGCUUUGGCUUACCCACCUGGAAAGACAGAGCUGACCUGGAAGUUAUGCUUAAAGAAGAAAGAGGCAAGACCCUCUUAGGUAACUCGAAGAGUAUAAGGAUCCAGAGAUAAAAGACCACUGCCCUGAACUUUUCCGAAGCGCAAUAAACCUUUCUGCAUAGGAUUCUCCAGUCGUUGCCAAAGUAUCUUUUAUCUUUUUGCUUCUGUCUUAAGACAGACUAGAAAAAAAAAAUAGUGAAUGAACCCCCUCCCAUUAGAUUGUGUAUUUGAGCUUAAAAGCCAUGAAACUGCUACUAUUCAAGUUAUUUCCAUCAUGUAAAAUAAAUUUUUAUAGUUCCUCAGCAAUAUUCUGACUCUAAUUUGAUUGUGGCUUGUGGAUUUGUCUGUUUCCUCGCCCAGAGCUGAUCCCCCCCGCCCCCUUUCUGUUUCUCAUUCUCUCCCUCUCUGUCUCUCUCCUUUUGCUUAUGCUUUUGUGUGUUGAGAUCAUCUCUCUACUGA